AAAUAUGGCGCACAAGGGUAUUGAACCCAGGACUAGGAGCUUGCCAAACCAUCCCUUUUGCCAACUCCGCCGAAUAAGCAUCCUUGUCAUAUGAUCUCAAGCGCUAAUACAUAACAUAAAAAAAGACCCACCAAACCUUUUAAAUAAAACACAAAUUUGAAAACAGUAGCAGAUUCUUUUAAACAGAUUCAUCUUAAUCCAUAUAUCCUUUUUCUUUCCAUUUUGAACAUCAAAAUUUUAACAGCAAGAUAACCAAACAAACACACAUGGGCGAUGGAUAUAAAGCUAAACCAAAUGGAAGCUAAAACGGAGAAAUGGAAAUAGAAACUCAAAAAGGAAGCUAACCAGUUGCGGCGAGAUUGACCGACGGAUGUAGGUAAGGUUUCGUCUGAACCGGUCUUUGUUCUUCUUAUCCGUUCUUCACCACCAAGAAAAACUAGGGUUUUC
RNAcentral lists this long non-coding RNA (447 nucleotides) under Lathyrus oleraceus (garden pea). RNAcentral's name for it is "Pisum sativum (pea) long non-coding RNA (PSAT_LNC002162)". Lineage: Eukaryota; Viridiplantae; Streptophyta; Magnoliopsida; Fabales; Fabaceae. The record is from RNAcentral.